RNAcentral lists this RNase P RNA (407 nucleotides) under Prevotellaceae bacterium. Its description in RNAcentral is "RNase P RNA component class A". It matches the Rfam family "Bacterial RNase P class A". From Rfam's summary of the family: Ribonuclease P (RNase P) is a ubiquitous endoribonuclease, found in archaea, bacteria and eukarya as well as chloroplasts and mitochondria. Its best characterised activity is the generation of mature 5'-ends of tRNAs by cleaving the 5'-leader elements of precursor-tRNAs. Cellular RNase Ps are ribonucleoproteins. Lineage: Bacteria; Pseudomonadati; Bacteroidota; Bacteroidia; Bacteroidales; Prevotellaceae. The record is from RNAcentral.
GCAGUGUUCCGGCUUCAUCGCUGGCAUCAGAUACGGAUGCGAGAGGAAAGUCCGGGCAGCACAGGGUGCUCCACUUGCGAAAGUACAAGCUAUUGGUGACAGUAGGUAAAGGCAGAAGAAAAGGACCGCCUCUUUUCGGGAGGUAAGGGUGAGAAGGUGGUGUAAGAGACCACCAGACGGCUGGUGACAGCCGUGCUGUGCCAUCUGGAGGCUGCAAGUUCAAGUAAACCAUCGUCAUGACAGGGUUACCCGCCCGAGAGGCUUCAACCUUACGAUGGAGGGUAGAAUGCUAAGCCGCAAGGCUAAAGCUGUGUGGUGACAUACAGAAUAGAUAAAUGAUGAGGCGCCCCAGUGCUCCGAGAGGAGUACAGGGGAGACAGAACCCGGCUUACAGGAGCACUGUCCUC